UGGAUAAAGUUGGGCCCAUUCCCAGUUACUUCUAACGAGUUAAUAUCGUGUGGGGACUGUUCUGUUCUCAUUAUGGGCCCAAUAUAAUAAAUGUGAUAUUGAUGGCCCAUUUGGAGAUAGGCCUUCCGGGCCCAUUAAUACCUUGAAAUUUGAAGAUAUUUUUUUCUGGAGUCGUUGGUUAUGUAAUGUCUUUUAUUAACGAUUUGCCAACUCGUAAUUAAUUGCUGUUCGUAGCUUUUUUUGUCUCAAACAGUUUUUACCUUUUUAACAAAUAAUUGGGCCAUACUGUUGGCCAGCCCAGUGGGCUCUAUCUCCUUAUUGGGCUACUUGAGCCCUGUGUGGGCCCAUUAAGUGCAUACGGUUUUUAAGUCGUUAGAUCGGAUUCCAUCCACGCCGCGACAGUCAUCGCCGUCUUCUCCAUGUGUUGCCUCAAUCGCCUGGCGUUGCGAUACCUCAUGUGAAGCAAAUCCAUGCGCAAAUCCUCCGCAGUGGUUCGGCGAUUGAGGACUCUGUGGAUACGUUUUAUCUGUACAGUAGAUUAAUCCAUUUUUCGUCGUUGCAAGACGUGCGGGUAGCAAGCGCAUGCCCAGUUUUUGAAGCGUGGAUUUGGCGCUGAUGUGUACGCGAACAACAGUUUGAUUCAUUUCUAUGCCUCCUGCGGGUGCUCGGAAAGUGUUCGAUAAAAUGCCUGACAGAAGCCUGGUAUCAUGGAAUGCGAUUAUCAAUGCCCUUGUGCAGCAUGGACUUGAGCUGAGGAAAUGGCGAGAAAGAUAAUAACCCAAGGCACUAAUAACUGCGGAGUAUAUGUCCUUCAUGACGUUGGGUUGGUUAAUCGGCUGCUGAGAAUGGCGUGUCGAAAGAACCUGGCUGUAGUUCAGUCCGAAAUCAAUGGCGUCAUCCAUUAAUUUUUUUGCAGGGGACACAACUCAUCAACAGACUAACGAGAUUUAUCAGUUCUUGGAUAUAAUCGAAAAGAAACUGAAUGUGGAAGGGUAUGCUCCCAACUUCCCACAAGUGCCCUUCGAUGGUGAAGCUGACGGUAAGGCGCAGUCAGCGAGAAGAUUCGCCAUCGCCUGCAGUUUGUUGAGCACGAAACAGAGUGAUACUAUUCAUGUAUUCAAGAAUCUGAGCGUCUGCAAAGAUUGCCACAGUUUUUCAAAGUUAGUCUCAAAAGUUUUCGAUUUGGAGAUCGUCAUGAGAGAUCGCCUCCGGUUCCAUUGUUUCAAGAAUGGGCAGUGUUCUUGUAUGGAUUUCUGGUAAAGAUCUAGUCUUUAUGUUCUUUUGAUGGUAAUAAUAUUUAGCACUUGUAUCAAAGUUACUUGAUUCUCUAAUACAAAAUCCGUUCUCAACUA
Molecule: long non-coding RNA, 1352 nt
Organism: Andrographis paniculata
Lineage: Eukaryota; Viridiplantae; Streptophyta; Magnoliopsida; Lamiales; Acanthaceae
Exons: 2
Source: RefSeq, a predicted model, not a curated record